AUUUGGAAAGAAUUCUGCCGUAAACACGGCACUGUGUUCAAAGGAAAGCUAGACCAUCGCCGAAUUUGUUCUCGGCAUUUUGAUGCAUCAUGCUUCAAGGAUCCGUUUGAUUUCAGAGAUACUGCAUCGUAUGAGAAUAGCAGGAGAAACUAUGAGUGAUAAAGAUAAGGUGGUAUCAAUUUUAAUAGAUGGGAUGGCGUUAAAACCUAUGCUUGACUAUCAUGCACGAACAGAUAGAUUCCACGGAUUACCGACUGUGGAAACUGCACGGAGCCAGUAGUAUGAAAAUAAUGAUCCACAGGUUUUAGCAACAGAAAGCGUUACUGUUAUGGUGAGGAGUAUCAAUACAAACUUUAAGCAGGUACAAUUAUCAUAUUUAAUAAAAAUAAAUUGAAUAACUAUUUUGUUUGUUUACAUACAGGUCAUCGGCUACUUAUUUGCCAAUGCGACUUUGGGCAGUGAUGUGCAAAAAGAGAUUGUUAGUGAAGCUGUUAGGAAAAUGAUUGCUAUCGGAUUUCACCCCGUUUUAUUAAUAAUGGAUCAGCAUCCUACAAAUGUAAAAAUGGCUGAAAGUCUGGGAGCCACAUAUGAAAAUCCCGUUUUCAAAGUGGAUGAAAUACCAAUUGUUAUAAUGAUCGAUAAUCCUCAUUUAAUUAAAUCAGCAAGGAACAAUUUGUUUGCCAACAAUUUGUUAAUUGAUGGUAAAAUAAUAUCGUUUAAAUAUAUAAAUGAAUUAUACAAUUUGGACAUUGAAAAUGUCCCUCGGUUGGCACCACGAUUGACGAAAAAAGCAGUAUUGUUACCUGGAUUUUCAAAAAUGAAUGUAAGCCACGUUGAGUAGAACCGUCUCAAAAGCUCUCCAAGCGUAUGUUGAAAUGGGUAGCAUGAGCAGCGAAGUAAUUCCCAUGAUAGAGUUCAUAGACCUGAUGGACAGCUUGUUCGAUACUUUUAACUCUCGUUUUGAACAUGAUAAGCUAAAGCCUCUACGAUCUGCUAUAUGCGAUAAUAGCGAACAUUGGGAAUUUCUCGUUAAAACAAAAAAUAUUCUUGAGAAAGCCAAGUUUAUCCCGAAAUCGUGCUUCGAUACCUCAACGGCAUUGGAUGAAGCUCAAAAUCUGCUCACAGCUAAACAGAGAUUCCCUCCAUUUAUGAAAGGAUUCAUUCAGAACAUAAAUGCGAUUCGACUGCUGUGGGAUAUUUUAAAAACAAAAUUCAAUUUCCUCGAUCUGUGUACUAAUUGUAUCUGUCAAGACCCACUGGAGAAUGAAUUUGCUAAAGUUUAGCACGGCAAUCAAAUAUAAUGGGGUGGAAAGA
Molecule: long non-coding RNA, 1314 nt
Organism: Aedes aegypti (yellow fever mosquito)
Lineage: Eukaryota; Metazoa; Arthropoda; Insecta; Diptera; Culicidae
Exons: 3
Source: RefSeq, a predicted model, not a curated record